This 292-nucleotide ribosomal RNA is filed under the name uncultured bacterium. RNAcentral describes it as "partial 16S ribosomal RNA". It matches the Rfam family "Bacterial small subunit ribosomal RNA", at positions 505 to 796 of the family's 1533-position model. The record is from RNAcentral.
GUGUCAGCAGCCGCGGUAAUACAGAGGGUGCAAGCGUUGCUCGGAUUUACUGGGCGUAAAGCGUACGCAGACGGUGAGAAAGGUCGGAUGUGAAAGCCCCGGGCUCAACCCGGGAACUGCAUCCGAAACCAUCUCGCUCGAGUGUGGGAGAGGGAAGCGGAAUUCCUGGUGUAGAGGUGAAAUUCGUAGAUAUCAGGAGGAACACCGGCGGCGAAGGCGGCUUCCUGGCCCAUUACUGACGUUCAGGUACGAAAGCGUGGGUAGCAAACAGGAUUAGAUACCCUGGUAGUCC